Molecule: long non-coding RNA, 236 nt
Filed under: Homo sapiens (human)
Lineage: Eukaryota; Metazoa; Chordata; Mammalia; Primates; Hominidae
Description: HSALNT0215773
Source: RNAcentral
AGUUAUCUACUUCCCAGAUACAAUGGUGGCACGGGCAUAAGGCGGACACUCCCAUUCAAAAGGUUUUGCUGUAAGAACAGAUGCUACUCACGCGCCAUCUCCCUGUUCCGGCCCCUCCCACCACGCCCUGGAGGCAUUUCGCUGUGUCUGUCCCAUCUUCCACACUGCCGCUGCGGGCAUGGUCCCACCGUAGGGACUCGGUGCCAGGCUUUUGGCCACCUCAAGUUUUUGGGUUU